This is an RNA transcript of Mangifera indica (mango), 1047 nucleotides long. It is a transcript of the gene named psbP domain-containing protein 2, chloroplastic, with no coding region annotated. The transcript is spliced from 4 exons. NCBI's taxonomy places the organism in Eukaryota, Viridiplantae, Streptophyta, Magnoliopsida, Sapindales, Anacardiaceae. The record is from RefSeq and is a predicted model, not a curated record.
UCUGGAAAAGUUUGAAAUGUUGAUGAGGUUUACGUCUUCUCUGUGAUGGAUUCCCAAAUUUGCUCGGCCCUCUCAACUCAUCACAACUCCGCCUUCGUUCACAACCCCAUUACAAAAUUCUCUUCUUCCACCAAACCUCCAUUUUCACCCCGAAACUUCAAGACAGAGACACUGCAAGUAUCCCUUUGUCUGUGCAAGAGGGAGAUUAACUUAUCGCUUGUUGCACUUCUCUUAAAUGGGUUUUAUGCAAAAGUUUCCAAAGCCGAGGAAAUGGAGCUCGAAAGAUACACAGAUUCCACAGAGGGAUUCACAUUCCUCAGACCCUCUUCUUGGAUUAAGGUGGAUAAAGCAGGGGCCACAGUUCUAUUUCAGGAGGCAAACAAGGGAAGUAACAAUGUUGGAGUUGUGGUGAACCCAGUUCGUCUCUCCAGUCUUGGAGAAUUUGGGACUCCUCAGUUUGUUGCUGAGAAGCUUAUUCAGGCCGAAAAGCGCAAGGAAAGCACAAUAGAAGCUGAGCUGAUUGAAGUGGCUGAGAGAUCAAGCCAGAAAGGUCUUCAAGUUUACGAAUUUGAGUACAAAGUAGACAGCAGUAGGGGUGGAUUGAAAAGAAUUUUUUCAGCUGCAUUUGUGGCCUCUAGGAAGCUUUACCUUCUGAAUAUCAAUUAUUCAAACAAGCAAGAGAGUCCUCUUGACAAUUAUACAAGAAUGAAGCUAGAAGAAGUUCUUCAUUCCUUUGAUGCAGCACCUAUAGCUUGAUGUUGAAGCACAAUUUUUUUUACAUGGUCUCUUGAUACUAUGUAUUUCUACUUGAUUAUUCAUAACCUGAGGUGGCAAUGAGGCUUCAGUGGCUGAAACUCAUGCUUAACAUUUCCCUGUGAGGUAAUAUGAUUGGCUUGAAGAUCUUUAGUAAACAUGAAUUGAUGACAUUCUUUGUGUUAAUAUGAAUAGAGUAGAAUGGCGUGAAAAAGAGAAAUUGUAACAGAUGGAUAUUGUUUAUUACCUUAAAUAAUUUUUACAAAGUUAAUACCAUAUUUAUGCUGAAUGGUA